GUAGUCCCAGGUACUCGGGAGGCUGAGACAGGAGAAUUGCUUGAACCCGGGAGGCAGAGGUUGCAGUGAGCCGAGAUCACGGCACUGCACUCCAACCUGGGUGUUAGGGCGAGACUCCGUCUCAAAAAAAAAAAAAAGAAAUAAAAAAAGUUACCAGGAAAACUGGUAAGAUCAGCUAUAAAACAUCUAUAAAAGGCAAUGGAGUAGUUCAUAUGCAAAAGUAUGAUAAAAUGGUGAGCAAUACUGUACAGUAUCUGCUUAUUAGUUGAUAUAAUGUAAAGUCUAUAACAAACCCAAACUUCUACUUUAGCUACAGUACUGUGGACUUUCAAUGCUCUUUAACUAGUCUGGUCAUCAUAAUUUUCUCCCCCUUCCCCCUUCUAAAGUCAUGAGGAAAAUAUAAAGGAUCUAUCAUAAAAUAUACAUCAACUGUAUUGUUACCAUAUAGAAUAACAACCAGACUUCUCAAUAAGCAACUUAUCUAUUGCAGUAAGACAAUAUGCUAUGCUUAUCUUUCUGGAUUCCCCAGGAAGAGAUACUUCCAAUCUAACAUCAGAUAUUUUUACUUUCUAAACAGAGCUAACUUGUACCAUUUUUAGAAACAGAUCACAAAUGCAAAUUUGCUUCUGGAACAAAACAUAACAUUGAUUUCUUGGAAAGACUUUUGGAAAUGUUGAGAAAAAGCUUUUAACAUUUCAGAUACAUCCAACAGUUCAUGUCUGAAUGUAAUUAAGCAUCCAAAUCAACACUGUCAUUUAUCUGCAGGGACUUAAUGUUUUUCUAAAAUACUCUUUGCCAUUUAGAUUCAAUCAUGUCAACAUUUACCAACAUUUGAGUAGGUAUACUCUUUAAGAAGGUAUAUUAUACUGCCUUCAAAAUACUUAUUACCUGAGUGUUAACUAUCAUCUUUCCUCCACCUGAACAAGCACCAAAAAUGUAGCAUCUCUUACCAGUCACAGAAUCACCGUUCAGCGUGGCGGGGGGUGGUCUCCAUUUUACAGAUAAAGAAACUGAAUGUGUGGCGGAUUUGAAUCCAGGGCUUCUGCCUUUUUUCUUUCUUUCUUUUUUCUUUUUUUUUUUUUGAGACAGAGGUUCGCUCUGUCACCCCGGCUGGAGUGCAGUGCAGUGAUGUGAUCUUGGCUCACUGCAACCUCUGCCUUCUGGGUUCAGGCGAUUUCUCCUGCCUCAGCCUCCCAAGUAGCUGGGAUUACAGGUGCCUGCCACCACGCCCGGCUAAUUUUUGUAUUUUUUUUUAGUAGAGAUGGGGUUUCACCGUGUUGGCCAGGCUGGUCUCGAGCUCCUGACCUCAAGUGAUCCGCCUGCCUCAGCCUCCCAAAGUGCUGGGAUUACAGGCAUGAGCCACCGUGCCUGACUGCUGCUUUCUAAAUACCAUUUCACUCCCACAUUUUUCUCCCAUCAUGAAAGUGUGUAUCAGGUUGGUUUCUCUAUAAAAGGAAUUAUAGCUGAACUAGAGCUGGAGGAGCAUAACCACCAGCCCAAGAGGGAGGGGAAAAGCCGGAAAGGCGUUGGGCAGGGAGGUGGCUUGGGUACCUGGUUUGACCACAGUUAGAAUAUCAUGAUUGUGUUUUGUUAGUCUUUAAAUGAUUUUGAGUCUGAUAGAUAACUAAAUUCUGAUUUUAAAAACUAUUUCAGCAAGAGAUUUACAUUAAGGCUCAUGAACUAAUUCAGAUUUUUGUUCGUGUCUCUUCAAAAAUUGCUAUCUUAGAAAAGUUAGAAUUCAAUGCCCAGUUGAAAAAUUGCUUGGGGCUUGAUAGCA
Molecule: long non-coding RNA, 1777 nt
Filed under: Homo sapiens (human)
Lineage: Eukaryota; Metazoa; Chordata; Mammalia; Primates; Hominidae
Description: LHRI_LNC1971.1
Source: RNAcentral